This 656-nucleotide ribosomal RNA is filed under the name Actinomortierella wolfii. RNAcentral's name for it is "eukaryotic LSU rRNA". It matches the Rfam family "Eukaryotic large subunit ribosomal RNA", at positions 97 to 615 of the family's 3401-position model. Lineage: Eukaryota; Fungi; Mortierellomycota; Mortierellomycetes; Mortierellales; Mortierellaceae. The record is from RNAcentral.
AGCGGGAAGAGCUCAAAUUUAAAAUCUGGCCGGGUUACCGGUCCGAGUUGUAGUUUAAAGAAGUGUUUUCGGCGGCAACCUGGGUACAAGUCCUUUGGAACAGGGCAUCAUAGAGGGUGAGAAUCCCGUCCAUGACUCAGUGGAUGCUGCUAUGUGAUACACUUUCAAAGAGUCGAGUUGUUUGGGAUUGCAGCUCAAAAUGGGUGGUAAAUUUCAUCUAAAGCUAAAUACAGGCGAGAGACCGAUAGCGAACAAGUACCGGGAGGGAAAGAUGAAAAGAACUUUGAAAAGAGAGUUAAACAGUGCGUGAAAUUGUUGAAAGGGAAACGUUUGGCACCAGUCAUGCGUUCAGGAAAUCAGUCUAUCGAGGUGGGGAGCUGCAGAGGUUUGGACCGCAAGGCCAGCUUUUGUUGCAUUUCUGUCUGGAUGGAUGCACUUUUCUGUAUGCAGGUCAACAUCAUUUUUGUUCGCCGGACAAAACCUCAAGAGAAUGUGGCAGCUUUGGCUGUGUUAUAGCUCUGGGGCGAUACGGUGGGUGAGACUGAGGCUUUCAGUGUGUGCUUUCGGGCAAGGCUGACCGGGUGCUGCGGGCCAGUACAAGGUACAAUACAUGUAUUUUGCUUCGUGUCUGGUUUGCACUCGCUCGAAUCGGCUCU